Molecule: ribosomal RNA, 739 nt
Filed under: uncultured bacterium
Lineage: Bacteria
Description: bacterial SSU rRNA
Rfam family: Bacterial small subunit ribosomal RNA
Source: RNAcentral
GAUGAACGCUGGCGGCGUGCUUAACACAUGCAAGUCGAACGAGGCACCCCGGAAUGCGGCUUCGGCCAAAUGACGGGACUGCCUAGUGGCGGACGGGUGAGUAACGCGUGAGCAACCUGCCCUUCGGAGGGGGACAACAGUUGGAAACGACUGCUAAUACCGCAUAAUGUGCACGGGACGCAUGUUCUGUGUACCAAAGAUUUAUCGCCGAAGGAUGGGCUCGCGUCUGAUUAGCUAGUUGGUAGGGUAGAGGCCUACCAAGGCGACGAUCAGUAGCCGGACUGAGAGGUUGACCGGCCACAUUGGGACUGAGAUACGGCCCAGACUCCUACGGGAGGCAGCAGUGGGGAAUAUUGGGCAAUGGGCGCAAGCCUGACCCAGCAACGCCGCGUGAAGGAAGAAGGCCCUCGGGUUGUAAACUUCUUUGAUCAGGGAAGAAAACAAUGACGGUACCUGAAAAACAAGCCACGGCUAACUACGUGCCAGCAGCCGCGGUAAUACGUAGGUGGCAAGCGUUAUCCGGAUUUACUGGGUGUAAAGGGCGUGUAGGCGGGACGGCAAGUCAGGUGUGAAAACUAUGGGCUCAACCCAUAGCUUGCAUUUGAAACUGUCGUUCUUGAGUGAUGGAGAGGUAAGUGGAAUUCCUAGUGUAGCGGUGAAAUGCGUAGAUAUUAGGAGGAACACCAGUGGCGAAGGCGACUUACUGGACAUUAACUGACGCUGAGGCGCGAAAGCGUGG